Molecule: ribosomal RNA, 465 nt
Filed under: Vreelandella stevensii
Lineage: Bacteria; Pseudomonadati; Pseudomonadota; Gammaproteobacteria; Oceanospirillales; Halomonadaceae
Description: partial 16S ribosomal RNA
Rfam family: Bacterial small subunit ribosomal RNA
Source: RNAcentral
CCUACGGGGGGCAGCAGUGGGGAAUAUUGGACAAUGGGGGGAACCCUGAUCCAGCCAUGCCGCGUGUGUGAAGAAGGCCCUCGGGUUGUAAAGCACUUUCAGUGAGGAAGAACGCCUGGUGGUUAAUACCCAUCAGGAAAGACAUCACUCACAGAAGAAGCACCGGCUAACUCAGUGCCAGCAGCCGCGGUAAUACGGAGGGUGCGAGCGUUAAUCGGAAUUACUGGGCGUAAAGCGCGCGUAGGUGGCUUGAUAAGCCGGUUGUGAAAGCCCCGGGCUCAACCUGGGAACGGCAUCCGGAACUGUCAAGCUAGAGUGCAGGAGAGGAAGGUAGAAUUCCCGGUGUAGCGGUGAAAUGCGUAGAGAUCGGGAGGAAUACCAGUGGCGAAGGCGGCCUUCUGGACUGACACUGACACUGAGGUGCGAAAGCGUGGGUAGCAAACAGGAUUAGAUACCCCUGUAGUC